RNAcentral lists this small RNA (412 nucleotides) under Arabidopsis thaliana (thale cress). RNAcentral's name for it is "ATSL196150". The record is from RNAcentral. Lineage: Eukaryota; Viridiplantae; Streptophyta; Magnoliopsida; Brassicales; Brassicaceae.
UUUUUUUAAUUUUAAAUUUCCAUUAGAUAAAAAAGAACUUACAAGACACAAAAUUCCAAACUAGGCACGCAGGCCAAAAAACAUACACGGCCCAAAGGCCCAAAAAGGCACGCAGGUCCGAAAACUAACCCUGAGGCCCAAGAAGGAAUAAGAGGGCCCAACAGAACAUAAGAAACGCAAAGGAGGAAAAAUUUACCUUAGUUGAAGUAGCGAAACCAAGUAGAAAGGAGAGAGUUGUCGGGGGCAUCAAAUUCAGAACGCCUAGAGAGAGGAUCCAGCUUAGCUGUAAGGAUGACCUUGAUUUCCUUGAUGAUUGCAGUAGAAGAGCGGGAAGCGUGAUCAUGCAAUCUACGGUUACGCUCUUUCCAAAGGAAGUAGAUAGAAGCUUGAAACACUAGCUUGAUGAUGAGAG